This 425-nucleotide ribosomal RNA is filed under the name uncultured bacterium. Its description in RNAcentral is "partial 16S ribosomal RNA". It matches the Rfam family "Bacterial small subunit ribosomal RNA", at positions 354 to 796 of the family's 1533-position model. The record is from RNAcentral.
GUGGGGAAUCUUGCGCAAUGGGCGAAAGCCUGACGCAGCCAUGCCGCGUGAAUGAUGAAGGUCUUAGGAUUGUAAAAUUCUUUCACCGGGGACGAUAAUGACGGUACCCGGAGAAGAAGCUCCGGCUAACUUCGUGCCAGCAGCCGCGGUAAUACGAAGGGGGCUAGCGUUGCUCGGAAUUACUGGGCGUAAAGGGCGCGUAGGCGGACAGCUUAGUCAGAGGUGAAAGCCCAGGGCUCAACCUUGGAAUUGCCUUUGAUACUGGCUGUCUUGAGUUUGGGAGAGGUGAGUGGAACUCCGAGUGUAGAGGUGAAAUUCGUAGAUAUUCGGAAGAACACCAGUGGCGAAGGCGACUACCUGGACUGAUACUGACACUGAGGUGCGAAAGCGUGGGGAGCAAACAGGAUUAGAAACCCGAGUAGUCC